UUUUCAGGUUCAGGCAUCUACA
This 22-nucleotide non-coding RNA is filed under the name Arabidopsis thaliana (thale cress). The record is from RNAcentral. Lineage: Eukaryota; Viridiplantae; Streptophyta; Magnoliopsida; Brassicales; Brassicaceae.